Molecule: ribosomal RNA, 253 nt
Filed under: uncultured bacterium
Lineage: Bacteria
Description: partial 16S ribosomal RNA
Rfam family: Bacterial small subunit ribosomal RNA
Source: RNAcentral
UACGGGGGGGGCAAGCGUUGUUCGGAAUUACUGGGCGUAAAGGGUUCGUAGGUGGCCAACUAAGUCAUACGUGAAAUCCCUCAGCUUAACUGGGGAACUGCGUCUGAUACUGGUUGGCUUGAGUGCAGGAGAGGAACGCGGAAUUCCAGGUGUAGCGGUGAAAUGCGUAGAUAUCUGGAGGAACACCGGUGGCGAAGGCGACUUCCUGGCCUGUUCUUGACGCUGAGGCGCGAAAGCUAGGGGAGCAAACGGG